This 424-nucleotide ribosomal RNA is filed under the name uncultured prokaryote. RNAcentral describes it as "bacterial SSU rRNA". It matches the Rfam family "Bacterial small subunit ribosomal RNA", at positions 355 to 796 of the family's 1533-position model. The record is from RNAcentral.
UGGGGAAUAUUCGGCAAUGGGCGCAAGCCUGACCGAGCCAUGCCGCGUGAGUGACGAAGGCCUUAGGGUUGUAAAGCUCUUUUGGCGGGGAUGAUAAUGACAGUACCCGCAGAAUAAGCCACGGCUAACUUCGUGCCAGCAGCCGCGGUAAUACGAAGGGGGCUAGCGUUGUUCGGAAUCACUGGGCGUAAAGCGCACGUAGGCGGAUAAUUAAGUCAGGGGUGAAAUCCCGGGGCUCAACCGCGGAACUGCCUUUGAUACUGGUUAUCUAGAGUCCGAGAGAGGUUAGUGUAAUUCCUAGUGUAGAGGUGAAAUUCGUAGAUAUUAGGAAGAACACCAGUGGCGAAGGCGGCUAACUGGCUCGGUACUGACGCUGAGGUGCGAAAGCGUGGGGAGCAAACAGGAUUAGAUACCCCUGUAGUCC